RNAcentral lists this small nuclear RNA (88 nucleotides) under Oryzias latipes (Japanese medaka). Lineage: Eukaryota; Metazoa; Chordata; Actinopteri; Beloniformes; Adrianichthyidae. The record is from RNAcentral.
UCUGAUUGGUUGAGAAAUUGGAACAAUCGGAACAGAGAAAAGUGGGCGCAAGGAUGACACGCAAAUUCGUGAAGCGUUCCUCAUUUUC